Molecule: ribosomal RNA, 164 nt
Filed under: Ficus pedunculosa
Lineage: Eukaryota; Viridiplantae; Streptophyta; Magnoliopsida; Rosales; Moraceae
Description: 5.8S ribosomal RNA
Rfam family: 5.8S ribosomal RNA
About the family: 5.8S ribosomal RNA (5.8S rRNA) is a component of the large subunit of the eukaryotic ribosome.
Source: RNAcentral
AGAACGACUCUCGGCAACGGAUAUCUCGGCUCUCGCAUCGAUGAAGAACGUAGCGAAAUGCGAUACUUGGUGUGAAUUGCAGAAUCCCGUGAACCAUCGAGUCUUUGAACGCAAGUUGCGCCCGAAGCCAUCGGGCCGAGGGCACGUCUGCCUGGGCGUCACAC